GAUUAAGGUCCUUGAAAGUGAAAUCAGAAGCCUUUGGGUUUUGAAGAUGAGUGAUAUGAUCAUUUUAAAAAGUUCACUCUGUCUCAUAAGACACUGUAGUGGGACCAAGGCAGAAACAGAGAGACCAGGAGUUUAUGACACCGUGUGAAGAGAACACGCUGACUUUGAUACAUCAGAAAUGCAUUUGUUUAGAAAACAUUUCGUUGACAUUUCUUGUAGAAAAUAGCUUCACAUUAGCGUAGGAUAGGCUGAGACUGUGACAGUAUGAGUCAGUAAGAACUCUCUGAGUUUCGUUUUUCAAGCCACAACAUAAAUAAGCCCAGUCUAAAUUAAAAGCCAUCAUCUUCCAGGCGUCCAUUUCUUUGACCUAAUGCCUAGAUGUUUACCUUUCUCAUGUGCUGGAGUUACAAAUAAUUUUUCACAAAGCAUCUUCUCUCAAAUAAAUCAUUAUAUUGAGAGGAAUUGUCUGAAAGUAAAGUCCCUUAUACCUCAGGAGGAUCCAGACUGAAUCACUGAACUGAAGGAAUGGAUAUAAAAGUUCCCCUUUCGGGGCGAGGUGCGGUGACUCACGCCGGUAAUCCCAGCACUUUGGGAGACUGAGGCAGGCGGAU
Molecule: long non-coding RNA, 611 nt
Filed under: Homo sapiens (human)
Lineage: Eukaryota; Metazoa; Chordata; Mammalia; Primates; Hominidae
Description: HSALNT0281181
Source: RNAcentral